This is a long non-coding RNA of Monodelphis domestica (gray short-tailed opossum), 691 nucleotides long. RefSeq lists it as uncharacterized. The record is from RefSeq and is a predicted model, not a curated record. NCBI's taxonomy places the organism in Eukaryota, Metazoa, Chordata, Mammalia, Didelphimorphia, Didelphidae.
UCUUGUAAUCUCAGGCAACAUUAAGAGAAGUCCAACAUCCAGAACAAGGGAGAUGAUUGUUCCUCUCUAAUCUCCAGGUGAAACCACAUUUGGCAUAUUGUCUUCUAUUCUGACAAGCUGGAAAGUGUGCAGAGGAGAGCAACUAAAGUGAUCUCUACAUUCUAAUCCAUCCUCCAUAAAACAUCCAAAGUGAGCUUCAUAAAAUGCAGUUCUGACCAGGUCUCUUCCAAAUAAAGGAAAGGAAAAGGGCCUUAAUGACCAACCGACACCUGAAAAAGUCUCUACUACAACAUAAGGGACAAAUGAAAAAAUGGACAUCCAGCCUCUAUUUGAAGGCUACUCUAUGGAGUCAAAGAGUCUGGAGCUGCAACGGACCUUAGACAUCAUCUAGUUUAUUCUUCUUCAAUUUACAGAGGAGGACACUGAGGCCCAGAGAGACAUACUCAUUUGCCUAAGGUCACAAAGAAAGCAACAAAUAACACUGUCAGGAUUUGAGCACAGUUCCCAUUGGGUGCCUCAUUGUAGCUUGGGUGUGACACUGACUUCUUGGGGUCAGUAUGAUAGCAAUAUGUAGCUAAAUGUCUAAAUGGCCCCUCCAAGGUGGAAAGGAUUUGAUCAUGGAUCCACUCAUGGACUAUGAGUCCUUUAGGAGAAGAACAGCCUAAGUUUGGAGAGAAUAACUCCUGGAAGG